Long non-coding RNA from Myiozetetes cayanensis, 477 nucleotides. RefSeq lists it as uncharacterized. The record is from RefSeq and is a predicted model, not a curated record. The transcript has 3 exons. NCBI's taxonomy places the organism in Eukaryota, Metazoa, Chordata, Aves, Passeriformes, Tyrannidae.
GGAUUCUGUUGGCCUCCUUGACCACAAGGGCACACUGCCGGCUCACGGACAGCUCCUUGCCCAUCAGGGUCCCCGACGUCGUUCUCCGCAGCCACCCAGAAAUACGCAAUUCCCGGCGUUUUCAUCUUCAACUCUGGAUUUGCUCUUCCUGAGAUUUCACUGCCCACUACCAGAGAUGAAGGCUGUUACUACGCGACUCUUCGUACAGGUUUCACUGCAGCCAAAAAUACCUGCAGCACACACUGCCUCUCCCUGCCUCCACGACCCAGCACCAUGCCUUGGUAGGUCACAGUGGGUUGCCAACCAGUUGCAUGUUGUAUGUGAUACCCCUGAGGGAAAAGAAGGCUGAGAAGCUCCUGGAAGAUAUGGAUGUACCUGAGACAUGGCAAGGUGACAGAGGUUGCGUCCAAGUGCCACGGCUCUUCCCACAUCAUCUGAUGCUAGAAAGUUUUCUCCUGUCAGCAGAUAAACCAUUGC